This 486-nucleotide ribosomal RNA is filed under the name uncultured bacterium. RNAcentral describes it as "partial 16S ribosomal RNA". It matches the Rfam family "Bacterial small subunit ribosomal RNA", at positions 29 to 507 of the family's 1533-position model. The record is from RNAcentral.
AUUGAACGCUGGCGGCAUGCCUUACACAUGCAAGUCGAACGGCAGCACGGGUGAUUGCCCCUGGUGGCGAGUGGCGAACGGGUGAGUAAUACAUCGGGACAUGUCCUGUAGUGGGGGAUAGCCCGGCGGAAGCCGGAUUAAUACCGCAUACGACUUACGGGAGAAAGCGGGGGACCCCCGGGCCUCGGGCUAUCGGGUUGGCCGAUGGCUGAUUAGCGAGUUGGUGGGGUAAAGGCCUACCAAGGCGACGAUCAGUAACUGGUCUGAGAGGACGACCAGCCACACUGGGACUGAGACACGGCCCAGACUCCUACGGGAGGCAGCAGUGGGGAAUUUUGGACAAUGGGCGAAAGCCUGAUCCAGCAAUGCCGCGUGUGUGAAGAAGGCCUUCGGGUUGUAAAGCACUUUUGUCCGGAAAGAAAUGCUUGGCCCUAAUACGGGCGGGGGAUGACGGUACCGGAAGAGUAAGCACCGGCUAACUACGUG